Long non-coding RNA from Ictalurus punctatus (channel catfish), 2786 nucleotides. RefSeq lists it as uncharacterized. The record is from RefSeq and is a predicted model, not a curated record. NCBI's taxonomy places the organism in Eukaryota, Metazoa, Chordata, Actinopteri, Siluriformes, Ictaluridae. The transcript has 2 exons.
GGGAAAUCUCACACUCGCAUCCCAGAGCGGAGAAAUCAGUGUGUGCGUGUGUGUGUGUGGAUCAGAUGAGUUGGGCUCGCGCAGUCUGACCGUCAUGUGACGGCCUGGAGCGGAAAUCGCGGCGCGCGCACUGGAGCCAGGGGCAGAUUUGUGGAUCAGAGGAGUUGUGGGUUCAGAGGAUUUACUCUGACGGAGGAAAAUGCCCCAAUGUGCUGUACGGCGUUGGGUUCGAGACUGUGGGCAGAGCCUGCAUGGCGGUACAGCACCAUGUCCUUGGCGUGUCCCCUCUUGCACGUGGCGGCGUCCAGCAGCUCGGCGACGCGGGAGGACAUGUUCCCCGGGAACAGCAUGGCGGGCGUGCAGCACUCGGUGGCCGGAGACACGGCGUACAGCUGCGGAGAGAUGCGCCUCAGCUCCAGCAGGUAGUGUCGCCCUAUAAGCUCCGCCCCCACCAUGAUGUAGGCCACCAGGAAGAGGAAGAGAGGCACAGAGAAGGGCGGAGAGAAUCGAGGGAAGAAGCCCAGAAAGAGAAGAAUCAGCGACGCCCCAAACACGCCGAGCCCCACCCACUCCAGGAUUCGGUACAACUCUGGGUUCCAGUAGCGCUGCAGCCGCUCGGGGUGAUAUAAUUUCACAUACAGCGAGUGUGAAAUGAACCUGCGGCUGAGUACAUCGCGGAUGAUGGAGAAGAAGUCGGCGCCGGCCAGAGCGUCGUCCUCCAGCACCACCACGUUCCUCGGCUUCAUCGUCUCCACACUCUGACGCAGACAGAACACGUAAUCUCUCUUCUCCUUCUCGAACACGUUCACGUCCUGGUCCACACCCUUCCCCCGCCUCACCACGCGGAACCGCUUCUCCACCAGCACCGCGUCCUCGUUCUCCUGGGGACCGCUUUCAACGUCACACACCAGCACGGCUGCACAAGGGGCGUCGCCACAUCCCUGCAGGAGGAUGUCCAACCGCCGCAUCACCUGCAGCAGGUAGUGAUACUGCAGCCCAUCAAUCCUGCGCGCCGUCACCACUGUCACCAGCAGCUCCGGCCGCUCAGAGACGUCCCCCUGCACGGCUCCACCCACCACCACAUCCCGCCAGUAUGCGAGCGCCUCCUGCCCGUCCACGUAGCUCCGCCUCAGGACCUCCUCACUCCUCUGCCCCAGGUACCAGGAUUUCAGGAAGUAGUAGGAGUAGAGAGCGCGAUGGCAGCACAGGGGCAGGAGCACGCCAAACGUCAGCACACACACCACCAGCACCCGGGUCACAUGACUCGACCAGCGCAGACGCUGCAGCACUACAGCUCUCCAUCGACGCAUCUGUGUGACCAGUGCUCUGUAACACACACACACACACACACACACACACACACACACACACACACAGUCUCUUCUAUUAUUCCUUCUCUCCCUCUGUGUUUACAGAAGUUUCAUUGGGUGCGUCUCAUUUCUUAUUCGUGCAUCCUCACUUCCUUUCCUUGAGUCUUAGCGCCAGCCCUUUAGGAUGUGAGGGUGAGAGGAACAGAAGCAAGUCAAACGGAAGUGAUGUCGACUAACGAUGAUUGUGCUUCAAGAAUCUGUCGUUAUGUUGGAGUUCGGUUAAUAACAACAUUCUUAAUUAAUCUAAACGCACUGAUAUUAUGUGAAAUGUCUGUUAUUCAACAAUCAAUUAAUAAACAAUACAUCAUUUAUCGCAUAUUUUGACUGAUAUAAAGUUGGCUUGACGUUGGAUAUUCACAGAUAUGCGGAAAUUAAGGGAGUGUCUCUAAAGGUACCUACGACAUUGUUAUACACGUUUCUAACUUCAAUAACAUUUGAAGGGAAUGACUUAUAGUCACACAACCAACUGUAAAGUGUUCAUCUAGGUGUCAGGUAUGACACACACCUUUUAUAUUUUUUUAUAUUUAACCCUACAAUACAUGAACCAAAAAAACCUACACAAAUGCAUAGAGGGGCCAAAUUGACCCAUAUUGGAAUGAAUCAUUUUCUUCACACAAAAAAAGUACUAUUAAUGAAAUAAUUAAAAGUACUGACAAUACACAAAUGUUUUAAUAUUUCAAAGAUGUUUAUUUGUUUUCUGCAUUUUAUAUCUAUCAGCUGGCCACCAGAUAACUGCCUUGUCGACUCAACCUACAUUUUUGAAAACUGGUGGAAAACUGCUGGCCGCCAGGGGGCGCCCGGGGGGCCUCAACAAUUUGGUGUGAAAAAUAAAUUCUCACUCUCAGACAACCACACACACACAAUCAAUUCCUAAUAUAAUGUAAUGUAAAGAUGUAAGAAGUAAUUAUUAAUAAAAAAAGAAAGGGGAUAUAUUCAGAAGUCUGUAUUUUUAAUAUGUUUUAAAGACAUCUUGCAAAAGGGGGGCCUCGGUCAAAUGUUAAUGCCAUUUGGGGGGCCUUGCCCUGGAAAAGUUUGGGAACCCCUAGUAUAGGGAACUGUGUGUUUAGAGAGAGAGAGAGAGAGAGAGAGAGAGAGAGAGAGAGAGAGAGAGCGCGAGUGAAAGAAAAACUAAUUGAUUACUGAGCAAUUUGAUAAGUUUAUUAUUCUUUUUUCAGACUGAAUGUCACCACUGCAGGUGGUUCCAUGUGACGCGCCUUUCUAUGUCAGAGAAACAGUUCAACACGGCUCAAAAAGUUUACUGGAAAUGCUGUAAAUAAUGUUGAAUUCCUUUGGCUCCCAUACACAAUGUGUCUAAACAUGUACAUAAAUAAAUUAACCUGUACACAGUUCCCUAUUUACAGUUUUCAAAAAAUUGCACUCAGUUACCAAAAUAUCACUUUGUGUAGGCUUUUUGGG